GACAGAGGGGGCCAGCGUUGUCCGGACUGACUGGGCGUAAAGGGCACGCAGGUGGUCGUGCGCGUGUGCUGUGAAAGCGCGCCGCUUAACGGCGCGAGGCCAGCGCAUACGGCACGACUGGAGCCGUGCAGAGGCUAGGGGAAUUGCCGGUGUAGUGGUGAAAUGCGUAGAGAUCGGCAGGAACGCCAAUGGGGAAGCCACCUAGCUGGGCACGUGCUGACACUCAGGUGCGAAAGCGUGGGGAG
This 245-nucleotide ribosomal RNA is filed under the name uncultured bacterium. RNAcentral describes it as "partial 16S ribosomal RNA". It matches the Rfam family "Bacterial small subunit ribosomal RNA", at positions 524 to 768 of the family's 1533-position model. The record is from RNAcentral.